GUACACUCCUGCGGGAGGCAGCAGUGGGGAAUUUUGGACAAUGGGCGAAAGCCUGAUCCAGCAAUGCCGCGUGAGUGAAGAAGGCCUUCGGGUUGUAAAGCUCUUUUGUCAGGGAAGAAACGGUGAGAGCUAAUAUCUCUUGCUAAUGACGGUACCUGAAGAAUAAGCACCGGCUAACUACGUGCCAGCAGCCGCGGUAAUACGUAGGGUGCAAGCGUUAAUCGGAAUUACUGGGCGUAAAGCGUGCGCAGGCGGUUUUGUAAGUCUGAUGUGAAAUCCCCGGGCUCAACCUGGGAAUUGCAUUGGAGACUGCAAGGCUAGAAUCUGGCAGAGGGGGGUAGAAUUCCACGUGUAGCAGUGAAAUGCGUAGAUAUGUGGAGGAACACCGAUGGCGAAGGCAGCCCCCUGGGUCAAGAUUGACGCUCAUGCACGAAAGCGUGGGGAGCAAACAGGAUUAGAUACCCGAGUAGUCCCAUG
RNAcentral lists this ribosomal RNA (477 nucleotides) under uncultured organism. RNAcentral describes it as "partial 16S ribosomal RNA". It matches the Rfam family "Bacterial small subunit ribosomal RNA", at positions 331 to 799 of the family's 1533-position model. The record is from RNAcentral.